This 498-nucleotide ribosomal RNA is filed under the name uncultured bacterium. RNAcentral's name for it is "partial 16S ribosomal RNA". It matches the Rfam family "Bacterial small subunit ribosomal RNA", at positions 30 to 523 of the family's 1533-position model. The record is from RNAcentral.
AUUGAACGCUGGUGGCAUGCCUUACACAUGCAAGUCGAACGGUAACAGGUCUUCGGAUGCUGACGAGUGGCGAACGGGUGAGUAAUACAUCGGAACGUGCCUAGUAGUGGGGGAUAACUACUCGAAAGAGUGGCUAAUACCGCAUGAGAUCUACGGAUGAAAGCAGGGGAUCGCAAGACCUUGUGCUACUAGAGCGGCCGAUGGCAGAUUAGGUAGUUGGUGGGAUAAAAGCUUACCAAGCCGACGAUCUGUAGCUGGUCUGGGAGGACGAUCAGCCACACUGGGACUGAGACACGGCCCAGACUCCUACGGGAGGCAGCAGUGGGGAAUUUUGGACAAUGGGCGAAAGCCUGAUCCAGCAAUGCCGCGUGCAGGAUGAAGGCCUUCGGGUUGUAAACUGCUUUUGUACGGAACGAAAAGCCCCGGGUUAAUACCCUGGGGUCAUGACGGUACCGUAAGAAUAAGCACCGGCUAACUACGUGCCAGCCGCCGCGGUAA